AUUGAACGCUGGCGGCAUGCCUUACACAUGCAAGUCGAACGGCAGCACGGGAGCAAUCCUGGUGGCGAGUGGCGAACGGGUGAGUAAUAUAUCGGAACGUGUCCAGUUGUGGGGGAUAGCCCGGCGAAAGCCGGAUUAAUACCGCAUACGACCUACGGGUGAAAGCGGGGAUCGCAAGACCUCGCGCUAUUGGAGUGGCCGAUGUCAGAUUAGCUUGUUGGUGGGGAAAAGCCUACCAAGGCGACGAUCUGUAGCUGGUCUGAGAGGACGACCAGCCACACUGGGACUGAGACACGGCCCAGACUCCUACGGGAGGCAGCAGUGGGGAAGUUUUGGACAAUGGGCGCAAGCCUGAUCCAGCCAUGCCGCGUGCGGGAAGAAGGCCUGG
This 388-nucleotide ribosomal RNA is filed under the name uncultured bacterium. RNAcentral describes it as "bacterial SSU rRNA". It matches the Rfam family "Bacterial small subunit ribosomal RNA", at positions 29 to 419 of the family's 1533-position model. The record is from RNAcentral.